UACGUAGGGGGCAAGCGUUGUCCGGAUUUAUUGGGCGUAAAGAGCGUGUAGGCGGCCAGAUAGGUCAGCUGUGAAAACUCGAGGCUCAACCUCGAGACGUCGGUUGAAACCAUCUGGCUAGAGUCCGGAAGAGGAGAGUGGAAUUCCCGGUGUAGCGGUGAAAUGCGCAGAUAUCGGGAAGAACACCCGUGGCGAAGGCGGCUCUCUGGGACGGUACUGACGCUGAUGCGCGAAAGCGUGGGGAGCAAACAGG
Molecule: ribosomal RNA, 253 nt
Filed under: uncultured bacterium
Lineage: Bacteria
Description: partial 16S ribosomal RNA
Rfam family: Bacterial small subunit ribosomal RNA
Source: RNAcentral